Molecule: ribosomal RNA, 510 nt
Filed under: uncultured bacterium
Lineage: Bacteria
Description: partial 16S ribosomal RNA
Rfam family: Bacterial small subunit ribosomal RNA
Source: RNAcentral
GACGAACGCUGGCGGCGUGCUUAACACAUGCAAGUCGAACGAAGAGCGAUGGACGCUUGCUUCUAUCAAUCUUAGUGGCGAACGGGUGAGUAACGCGUAAUCAACCUGCCCUUCAGAGGGGGACAACAGUUGGAAACGACUGCUAAUACCGCAUACGAUCUAAUCUCGGCAUCGAGGAUAGAUGAAAGGUGGCCUCUACAUGUAAGCUAUCACUGAAGGAGGGGAUUGCGUCUGAUUAGCUAGUUGGAGGGGUAACGGCCCACCAAGGCGAUGAUCAGUAGCCGGUCUGAGAGGAUGAACGGCCACAUUGGGACUGAGACACGGCCCAGAAUCCUACGGGAGGCAGCAGUGGGGAAUCUUCCGAAAUGGACGAAAGUCUGACGGAGCAACGCCGCGUGAGCGAUGACGGCCUUCGGGUUGUAAAGCUCUGUUAAUCGGGACGAAAGGCCUUCUUGCGAAUAGUGAGAAGGAUUGACGGUACCGGAAUAGAAAGCCACGGCUAACUACGUG